AGUGAACGCUGGCGGUAGGCCUAACACAUGCAAGUCGAACGGCAGCACAGUAAGAGCUGGCUCUUACGGGUGGCGAGUGGCGGACGGGUGAGGAAUACUUCGGAAUCUACUUUUGCGUGGGGGAUAACGUAGGGAAACUUACGCUAAUACCGCAUACGACCUACGGGUGAAAGCAGGGGAUCUUCGGACCUUGCGCGAUUGAAUGAGCCGAUGUCGGAGUAGCUAGUUGGCGGGGUAAAGGCCCACCAAGGCGACGAUCCGUAGCUGGUCUGAGAGGAUGAUCAGCCACACUGGAACUGAGACACGGUCCAGACUCCUACGGGAGGCAGCAGUGGGGAAUAUUGGACAAUGGGCGCAAGCCUGAUCCAGCCAUACCGCGUGGGUGAAGAAGGCCUUCGGGUUGUAAAGCCCUUUUGUUGGGAAAGAAAAGCAGCAGGUUAAUACCCCGCUGUUCUGACGGUACCCAAAGAAUAAGCACCGGCUAACUUCGUG
RNAcentral lists this ribosomal RNA (492 nucleotides) under uncultured bacterium. Its description in RNAcentral is "partial 16S ribosomal RNA". It matches the Rfam family "Bacterial small subunit ribosomal RNA", at positions 29 to 507 of the family's 1533-position model. The record is from RNAcentral.